Long non-coding RNA from Oncorhynchus tshawytscha (Chinook salmon), 1396 nucleotides. The record is from Ensembl. NCBI's taxonomy places the organism in Eukaryota, Metazoa, Chordata, Actinopteri, Salmoniformes, Salmonidae.
CUACUACUACUACUACUACUACUACUACUACUACUACUACUACUACUACUACUACUACCACCACCACCACCACCACUACUACUACUACUACUACCACCACUACUACUACUACUUCUACUACUACUACUACUACUACUACUACUACUACUACCACCACUACUACUACUACUACUACUACUACUACUACUACAACUACUACUAUUACUACCACUACUACUAUUACUACCACUACUACUACUACUACUACUACUACUACUACUACUACAACUACCACAACACUACCACUACCACCCAACCUAUUCAGCCUAUUCAACUACAACACUCAAAUAAAAUAUAUUCUCAGGUAAACUAUAACUGUUUUUACCACAUUUUAUCCCAGACUUGAACGUAUGAAAUAUAGCUUACUUGUUUUGCAUAUGAAUUAUUCUUAGUAGUUCGAUCAAUAUGUACAAUUAUACUUUAUGGAUAAACUAUCUAAACAAUGAAAAAUAUGUAUGUAAUUCACUCUACAUCACAAUAUCUGGCUUUGGAAUCAAAUAUAUCUCUCUAUAGCAGCCAAGGCAAUACGUAUGUAUACAUUAUGUUCAUAUAUAGUGAGUAACAAGGUCAUAUUAAGGACAUAGACACUGUAACAUAUAGCCAUGCAGUAAAAAAUGGAGGAUGAGUAGGAGUGGGAGGAGGAAGAGGUGGAGGAGUUGGAGAGGGAGGAGGAGGUGGAAGAGGUGGAGGAGUUGGAGGAAGAGGUGGAGGAGGAGCAUGAGAAGAGGUGGAGGAGGUAGAGGAAGAGGUGGAGGAGGAGCAUGAGAAGAGGUGGAGGAGGUAGAGGAAGAGGUGGAGGAGGAGCAUGAGAAGAGGUGGAGGAAGAGGUGGAGGAGGAGGAUGAGGAGAGGGAGGAAGAGGUGGUUGGAGCGGGAGGAGGAGGACGAGGAGUUGGAGAGGGAGGAGGAGGACGAGGCGAGGAGGUGGAGGAGGAGGACGGAGAGAUGGAAGAGAGGAGGAAGAGGAGGUGGUAGAGGAAGAGGUGGAGGAAGAGGUUGAGGAGAGGAGGAGGUUCCUUGGUAAUGGUAAAAAAAAACUUAGAACUGGGGAGGAAGGAUAUAGAAUGUGUCUGUCUGACCACUUCAGUCAACCCAGAAGAGUCCCACUGAGGCAAUACUGGGGUGACGAGGCUGUACCAGGGUGACGAGGCUGUACCGGGGUGACGAGGCUGUACUGGGGUGACGAGGCUGUACUGGGGUGACGAGGCUGUACUGGGGUGAUGAGGCUGUACUGGGGUGACAAGGCUGUACCGGGGUGACGAGGCUGUACUGGGCUGUACUGAGUGAGAAAGUUACAGACGCACAAAUAUAAUACCCCCUCUCAAAAAUGCAUGUCUUGGGGGUAUGCUAACCUCCCC